This is a non-coding RNA of Acanthosepion pharaonis, 113 nucleotides long. NCBI's taxonomy places the organism in Eukaryota, Metazoa, Mollusca, Cephalopoda, Sepiida, Sepiidae. The record is from the annotation of a GenBank genome assembly.
UUACGGCCAUAUCACGUUGAAACACAGGUUUCCGUACGACCACCGAAGUUAAGCAACGUUGAUCUUGGUUAGUACCUAUAUGGGUGACAGCUUUAGAAUAUCAGGUGCUGUAA